Dendrobium catenatum is the source of this 462-nucleotide long non-coding RNA. RefSeq lists it as uncharacterized. The transcript is spliced from 2 exons. NCBI's taxonomy places the organism in Eukaryota, Viridiplantae, Streptophyta, Magnoliopsida, Asparagales, Orchidaceae. The record is from RefSeq and is a predicted model, not a curated record.
GAAGGGACGGCGACAAAGAAAGAGGGAGGGGGUUGGGGUCCACUAAGAGUCAAAUUCAAAUCCCUUUGAGGGAAAGAAGGGGGCGGCAAGGGCUGAAUAGUAAUUUUGGUUUGAUUAAUUAGUGAUAUGCUUUAAGUAAAAGGGAAUUAGGGCUAGAUUAUGCAUGAUUUGAGUUGUUCUUUUGGAGUCUUUCUUGACGUCUUGGGCUCUAGAUCUAUCAUCUAGGGAUUGGGAGAGACGAUCCUCCUCUCGAAUUGGGAAUCAAUUGCUUCUUACUUGGCUGGAUUUUUCUAGAUGUUUCGGUUUUUGUGGGACAAUGAAGUUUGGCUCCUCACCAAUCCUGGAUGGCCACUACACUGCAUUUGUUUUUCUUACAACUCCUGUUAUGUCUUAUUUUCAUCUCUUAGAGUUGUAACUUUUGGCUUCUUUUGUAAUUAUUCAUUAUAAUAAUUAAUAAUAAAA